GCCUUCGUGGUGUAAUGGUCAGCACACUGAGCUGGUAUUUCAGAGGUCCGUGGUUCGAUUCCCGGUGAAGGAA
Non-coding RNA from Stegodyphus mimosarum, 73 nucleotides. The record is from Rfam. Lineage: Eukaryota; Metazoa; Arthropoda; Arachnida; Araneae; Eresidae.